GGCCCUAUAGUUCAAGGGAUAGAACGAAAGUUUCCUAAACUUUAGAUAGCAGUUCGAGUCUGCUUGGGGCUA
This 72-nucleotide transfer RNA is filed under the name Bacteroidales bacterium. RNAcentral describes it as "tRNA-Arg". It matches the Rfam family "tRNA". Rfam says of the family: Transfer RNA (tRNA) molecules are approximately 80 nucleotides in length. Their secondary structure includes four short double-helical elements and three loops (D, anti-codon, and T loops). Lineage: Bacteria; Pseudomonadati; Bacteroidota; Bacteroidia; Bacteroidales. The record is from RNAcentral.